RNAcentral lists this microRNA precursor (99 nucleotides) under Fukomys damarensis (Damara mole-rat). RNAcentral's name for it is "mir-342 microRNA precursor family". It matches the Rfam family "mir-342 microRNA precursor family". The record is from Rfam by way of RNAcentral. Lineage: Eukaryota; Metazoa; Chordata; Mammalia; Rodentia; Bathyergidae.
GGAUCUGGGCCCAAGGUGAGGGGUGCUAUCUGUGAUUGAGGGACAUGGUCAAUGGAAUUGUCUCACACAGAAAUCGCACCCGUCACCUUGGCCUGCUGA